Molecule: non-coding RNA, 415 nt
Organism: Sphaeramia orbicularis (orbiculate cardinalfish)
Lineage: Eukaryota; Metazoa; Chordata; Actinopteri; Kurtiformes; Apogonidae
Source: the annotation of a RefSeq genome assembly
AUGAUGGCCUAUAGGACAGGACUGCUGCUGUUAACCGUCCUCUGGGCAGGUGUUGAUGGUCAGACUCUGACUGAAUCUGAACCUGCAGUAAAAAGACCUGGACAAUCCCACAGACUGACCUGUACAACAUCUGGGUUCACACUCAGCAGCUACUGGAUUCACUGGAUCAGACAGGCUCCUGGAAAAGGACUGGAGUGGAUCGCUGCUGAAACCACUGGCACUAACUACUAUUCCCAGUCAGUCCAGGGUCGCUUCACCACCUCCAGAGACAACAGCAGAAACCAGGUGUAUCUGCAGAUGAACAGUCUGAAAACAGAAGAUUCUGCUGUUUAUUAUUGUGCACGAGACCCACAGUGACUGGAUGACGGUGCUUUUGACUACUGGGGGAAAGGAACAACAGUGACUGUAACAUCAG